RNAcentral lists this long non-coding RNA (3160 nucleotides) under Homo sapiens (human). RNAcentral describes it as "HSALNT0111951". Lineage: Eukaryota; Metazoa; Chordata; Mammalia; Primates; Hominidae. The record is from RNAcentral.
CUUACUCAGACAAAAAAGGCUGUCAGCAGCAAGUCUAGGCAGAAGCCAGGAGGAGUUAGGAACAGACUAUAAGAAAUGGUUGGUCUGGAGGAAAAAGGGUAAAACUUAUGAGGGCCCUUGUGAAUUGAUGAAUAUGAAGACACUAAGAAAGCAGAAAUAGAACUGAGAAGAAUGAAAUAACUGUCUCUACCUUUCUCGAAUUGUCUAAUAUGGAAAGAAUGAAAGACAGCUAAUAAGCAACUCUCUGCAAGAAGACAUAUGGCUUAGGUUCUGCUGAGCUAUUGAAUCUACUUGGAGAGAGUCAAACACAGAAUCCCUUUGAAUUUAAUGGCCAUUCCAGGUGAUUUGAACAGCCAAAUAAGAAACAGGUCCUCUUCAAUGUACAAUCUGCCAAGUAUGAAGUCUGAAUGACCAUCAUUAUUAUGUAUUUAAUGUGCAUAGAAAAUCUAUCUGCAACCUUCCAGAGUGUACCAGAAGUUUGGAAUGUACAUUAUUAUUGGCUCCAUCUCAAACCACUCAUAAAUCAAAGAAAAUAGCAGUUCCAGAGGAAUCAUCAUAGAGGCUUCUAGGCCCCCAUGCUGUGUGAACCUGGUGAGAAAGGGAAGUCUGCUCUCACUGGACACUGGAACUGUUUGUCUCUGUCUCUGCUGUACUUUCCCUGCCUCUACCUCACUUAGUAAAGAAAUCAUCUUUGCUUGAUAACUAAAACAACCAAUAAGGCUGAGAAAGGGGAAAACCCACAUCUGGAUUUAAAUACAAGGUAUUGGGCCAGCUGCUGGGGAUUAAACUUUGAACAAAACAGAUAGAAUCUAUGUCCUCAUGGGAGUGGCUAAUGGGAGAGUCGGAACAAAAAAAUAGCCAAGGAUAAUCCAGCAAAUGAUUUGGUGAAUGCUAUCAAAGAGAGAAAUACACAUGCUCUGGGAACACCAAGUAGGUACCUAAUACCUAACCUGUACCUGGGGGGCUGGAAAGGGCUUCUUGGAAGAGGCAGAGACUAAAAUGAAGAAUAAGCAUAAGUUAAGACAAAGCUGGGGUGGGGUCAGAAAGAGUGUGAUAGGCCAACGCAGCAACAUGAGCCAAGACUCAAAAAUAAGAGACAGUGUGGCACAUUUGAUGUAGGAAAGACAUUUAGCUGGGAUAGAAAGAAGGCUAGUGUUGGGGCUGAAUGAGGUUGCAUAAAAGUUUGUAAGCCAAGUUAAGGAAUUGAUCAAAUUUAUAUUUUAGAAUGAUCACUCUGACCUCAGCAUUACAUGACCUGAAGGGGUUAAGCCCAUACAUCUGUAGAGAGACCCGUUAGAAUAGGACUGCAGUAAUAUGGUGAGAGACACUGGUGCCUAACUAGGCUGGUGAUCAUAGAGAUAAAGGGAUAUAUGGGAGAGGUAGAGCCGACAGCCAUUGAUAACUGGUGGUCGGCCAGGUCAAGGGGACAGUGUCUGCUUUAGGUAAUUGGCUUGAUGAUAAUCUCAUUUUCAAAGAUCAGGAACACAGGCCUGAGAGUACAUUUGGAGAGGAAGAUGAUUCGGGUUUGCAUCAUGUAGGGUUCGAGGUGUCUAUGGGACACUAUAUGCAGAAGUCCAGUAGGCAAUUGGUUCUGUGGGCCUAGCACUCAGAGGAGAGUGCGAGUCUAAUGACAGAAAAUUGGCAGUCACCAUCGUGUAGAUGGUAAUGGAUGGUAUGAUUUGGGGUGAUUGCUGAGGCAGGAACAUGGGCACAAUGCUGAGGAGUGCAAAUGGCUAAGGGAUGGGACACAGCAGGAACCUGCAAAGGAGCCCAGAAAACAAGAAAUAGGGAGAAAGCCUGGGAACACUGUGAUUCUACGGAAUCACAGAAUUGAAGACAAACAAUGUGAAACUAAGUACAGGCCCAUUUACUAACAUAUGUGUGUGUAUAUAUAUAUAUAUAUAUAUAUAUAUACACACACACACAUAUAUAUACUUAUAUAUAUAUACACACACAUAUAUAUACUUAUAUAUAUAUACACUUAUAUAUAUAUACUUAUAUAUACUUAUAUAUAUAUACACUUAUAUAUAUAUACUUAUAUAUACUUAUAUAUAUAUACACUUAUAUAUAUAUACUUAUAUAUACUUAUAUAUAUAUAUAUAAAAUUUAUUUAUUUAUUUUUAUUUUAUUUUAUUUAUUUAUUUUUGAGACAGAGUCUCCCUCUCUGACCCAGGCUGGAGUGCCGUGGUAUGAUCUCGGCUCACUGCAACUUCUGCCUCCCAGCUUCAAGCAAUUCUCCUGUCUUAGCUUCCCAAGUAGCUGGGAUUACAGGCGUGCACCACCACACCAGGCUAAUUUUGUAUUUUUAGUAGAGACGGGGUUUUGCCAUGUUGGCCAGGCUGGUCUCGAACCCCUGACCUCAGGUGAUCUGCCCACCUCAACCUCCCAAAGUGCUGGGAUUACAGGUGUGAGCCACUGCAUCUGGCCUCAUAUAUUUUACUAUAACAAAUCAGUGUAGGCCAAAUAAAGUUAGAAAUGGAAGCUAAUGGAAAUAAAGAAUAGGCUUUCCUGUUAGUAUCUAUAGGUGUGUGUGUGUGUGUUCGUUAUUUAGGGAAAGAAACAGGGAACUUGGGGCAUAUAAUAUUUAUGUUCCCUUAGCUUAGGCAUAUAUGGUAUAUUUAGUUACUUAAUUAAUUUUUUAUUUAGAAGUUAUGUAUAGAGCAUUUUUCCUAGGCCAGUGGGGGAUUAAACCAGAAAUAUAAGAAGUGUCUGCCUUCUGGAAGCUUGUGAUCUAGUUAGGGGUAUCACAAGUGCACAGCGUUCACCAGUGGCAGAGAAGCAUGUGAUGAGUACCCAGAGCUUAUAUUGAGAAUAAGGUAUACAAGAAUUUAGAGGAGGCCAAUGUUGAUUUUCACCAAGAGUAUGGGACAGAGAGACAAGACAGGGUUGGUCAUCUAGUUCUGUGCACUGAAUAUAAUUUUGCAGGUUUAGGAGUGUUUGAAAACUACAAGGAAGAUAGAAUCUUGGUCUUGUUCUCCAGCAUGCCCUUUCUUGAACUCACCAGGGUAAUGCUGCAUCUUUUCAGAAAUGCCUCUGGCUUCUCAAAGCAACUUUCAUCCUGGAGAGGAACAAUUAGUCUUUGUCUUUCAUUAGUAAAAGAUUUAACGGCUCAGAAGGAGAAGCUAGUGGUGACUUUUCAAUCACCCCUUCUACCUCCCAG